Molecule: small nuclear RNA, 108 nt
Organism: Suncus etruscus (white-toothed pygmy shrew)
Lineage: Eukaryota; Metazoa; Chordata; Mammalia; Eulipotyphla; Soricidae
Source: RefSeq, a predicted model, not a curated record
UUGGCAGCACAUAUAUACUAAAUAUACUAAAGUUGGAAUGAUACAGAGAUUAGCAUGGCCCCUGCAGAAGGAUGACAUGAAAAUGUUAUCAAAGAGUAGGCAAUAUUU